GAUGAACGCUGGCGGCGUGCCUAAUACAUGCAAGUCGAGCGAACAGACGAGGAGCUUGCUCCUCUGACGUUAGCGGCGGACGGGUGAGUAACACGUGGAUAACCUACCCAUAAGACUGGGAUAACUUCGGGAAACCGGAGCUAAUACCGGAUAAUAUAUUGAACCGCAUGGUUCAAUAGUGAAAGACGGUUUUGCUGUCACUUAUAGAUGGAUCCGCGCCGCAUUAGCUAGUUGGUAAGGUAACGGCUUACCAAGGCAACGAUGCGUAGCCGACCUGAGAGGGUGGACGGCCACACUGGAACUGAGACACGGGCCAGAGUCCUACGGGAGGCAGCAGUAGGGAAUCUUCCGCAAUGGGCGAAAGCCUGACGGAGCAACGCCGCGUGAGUGAUGAAGGUCUUCGGAUCGUAAAACUCUGUUAUUAGGGAAGAACAAAUGUGUAAGUAACUAUGCACGUAUUGACGGUACCUAAUCAGAAAGCCACGGCUAACUACGUG
This 497-nucleotide ribosomal RNA is filed under the name uncultured bacterium. Its description in RNAcentral is "partial 16S ribosomal RNA". It matches the Rfam family "Bacterial small subunit ribosomal RNA", at positions 28 to 507 of the family's 1533-position model. The record is from RNAcentral.